RNAcentral lists this transfer RNA (72 nucleotides) under Tessaracoccus sp. MC1627. Its description in RNAcentral is "tRNA-Val". It matches the Rfam family "tRNA". From Rfam's summary of the family: Transfer RNA (tRNA) molecules are approximately 80 nucleotides in length. Their secondary structure includes four short double-helical elements and three loops (D, anti-codon, and T loops). Further hydrogen bonds mediate the characteristic L-shaped molecular structure. tRNAs have two regions of fundamental functional importance: the anti-codon, which is responsible for specific mRNA codon recognition, and the 3' end, to which the tRNAs corresponding amino acid is attached (by aminoacyl-tRNA synthetases). tRNAs cope with the degeneracy of the genetic code in two manners: having more than one tRNA (with a specific anti-codon) for a particular amino acid; and 'wobble' base-pairing, i.e. permitting non-standard base-pairing at the 3rd anti-codon position. Lineage: Bacteria; Bacillati; Actinomycetota; Actinomycetes; Propionibacteriales; Propionibacteriaceae. RNAcentral also lists the same sequence under 2 other names. The record is from RNAcentral.
GGGCGGUUGGCGCAGUGGUAGCGCGCUUCCCUGACACGGAAGAGGUCGGCGGUUCGAAACCGCCAUCGCCCA